RNAcentral lists this ribosomal RNA (253 nucleotides) under uncultured bacterium. RNAcentral describes it as "partial 16S ribosomal RNA". It matches the Rfam family "Bacterial small subunit ribosomal RNA", at positions 524 to 776 of the family's 1533-position model. The record is from RNAcentral.
GACGUAGGGGGCGAGCGUUGUCCGGAUUUAUUGGGCGUAAAGAGCGCGUAGGCGGCCCGUUAAGUCGGAUGUGAAAACCCGGGGCUCAACUCCGGGCCUGCAGUCGAUACGGGCUGGCUUGAGUGCGGUAGGGGAGACUGGAAUUCCUGGUGUAGCGGUGAAAUGCGCAGAUAUCAGGAGGAACACCGGUGGCGAAGGCGGGUCUCUGGGCCGUAACUGACGCUGAGGAGCGAAAGCGUGGGGAGCGAACAGG